RNAcentral lists this ribosomal RNA (292 nucleotides) under uncultured bacterium. RNAcentral's name for it is "partial 16S ribosomal RNA". It matches the Rfam family "Bacterial small subunit ribosomal RNA", at positions 505 to 796 of the family's 1533-position model. The record is from RNAcentral.
GUGCCAGCAGCCGCGGUAAUACAGGGGGGGCGAGCGUUGUUCGGAAUUACUGGGCGUAAAGGGUUCGUAGGUGGCCGACUAAGUCAUACGUGAAAUCCCUCAGCUUAACUGGGGAACUGCGUCUGAUACUGGUCGGCUUGAGUGCGGGAGAGGAACGCGGAAUUCCAGGUGUAGCGGUGAAAUGCGUAGAUAUCUGGAGGAACACCGGUGGCGAAGGCGGCGUUCUGGACUGCAACUGACACUGAGGAACGAAAGCCAGGGGAGCAAACGGGAUUAGAAACCCUGGUAGUCC